AGAAGUGAGAAUGCCGGUGUGAGUAGCGAAAGACGGGUGAGAAUCCCGUCCACCGAUUGACUAAGGUUUCCAGAGGAAGGCUCGUCCGCUCUGGGUUAGUCGGGUCCUAAGCUGAGGCCGACAGGCGUAGGCGAUGGAUAACAGGUUGAUAUUCCUGUACCACCUAUAAUCGUUUUAAUCGAUGGGGGGACGCAGUAGGAUAGGCGAAGCGUGCGAUUGGAUUGCACGUCUAAGCAGUAAGGCUGAGUAUUAGGCAAAUCCGGUACUCGUUAAGGCUGAGCUGUGAUGGGGAGAAGACAUUGUGUCUUCGAGUCGUUGAUUUCACACUGCCGAGAAAAGCCUCUAGAUAGAAAAUAGGUGCCCGUACCGCAAACCGACACAGGUAGUCAAGAUGAGAAUUCUAAGGUGAGCGAGCGAACUCUCGUUAAGGAACUCGGCAAAAUGACCCCGUAACUUCGGGAGAAGGGGUGCUCUUUAGGGUUAACGCCCAGAAGAGCCGCAGUGAAUAGGCCCAAGCGACUGUUUAUCAAAAACACAGGUCUCUGCUAAACCGUAAGGUGAUGUAUAGGGGCUGACGCCUGCCCGGUGCUGGAAGGUUAAGAGGAGUGGUUAGCUUCUGCGAAGCUACGAAUCGAAGCCCCAGUAAACGGCGGCCGUAACUAUAACGGUCCUAAGGUAGCGAAAUUCCUUGUCGGGUAAGUUCCGACCCGCACGAAAGGCGUAACGAUUUGGGCACUGUCUCAACGAGAGACUCGGUGAAAUCAUAGUACCUGUGAAGAUGCAGGUUACCCGCGACAGGACGGAAAGACCCCGUGGAGCUUUACUGUAGCCUGAUAUUGAAAUUCGGCACAGCUUGUACAGGAUAGGUAGGAGCCUUUGAAACGUGAGCGCUAGCUUACGUGGAGGCGCUGGUGGGAUACUACCCUAGCUG
Molecule: ribosomal RNA, 931 nt
Filed under: Staphylococcus aureus
Lineage: Bacteria; Bacillati; Bacillota; Bacilli; Caryophanales; Staphylococcaceae
Description: partial 23S ribosomal RNA
Rfam family: Bacterial large subunit ribosomal RNA
Source: RNAcentral